CAAGGCUUAUGGGUUAUUCUUAA
RNAcentral lists this microRNA (23 nucleotides) under Brugia malayi. RNAcentral's name for it is "bma-miR-9501-3p". The record is from miRBase by way of RNAcentral. Lineage: Eukaryota; Metazoa; Nematoda; Chromadorea; Rhabditida; Onchocercidae.